AGUACACGCCGCUUAAGUGUGUUUGUGUGAGUGCGUGUCUGGCUGCGUGUGCUUGUGUGCCGGAACAACAAAUGAAAAAGUUUCGGCUGCGCGUUUAAGAACUACAGUUGCGAAAUGUUGCAUGCCCCACUAAAUAAGUGCAACUCAUUGCGGGGUGGUGCUGCUGACGGUGGGGGUGGUGGUUUAAAGGCAAUCAAAACAACAACGACCAACAGGCUAGCAACAACAGUUAUUCAGCAAUCGCCCCCUCUCGCUCUCGCGCGCAGUCUCCCUCUCUCGCUCACUCUACGCCGCUCAGCUGACAGAAUGCAAUCGAGAAAAACAUCGAGUUAGAAAGAGGUUAACAAAUAAGUGGCGAUUUCACCACGCAAAACGGCACCACACACACACUCACACAAAAGUGCGUACCAGACGGCGAGAAAGAAGCAGCAGGUGUCAUAUAAUCAAAUACCAAUUGUUAUAAAUAUUUAAUGGCGCUUGAAUGCAAAUUGGCUGCAAAAGAGAAAGUUCAAGGACGCAGAAAAGCGUAAUUUAUAUUUUAAGUUGUUAAAUAAAUAAAACGCGUGUUUUCCAGCAAUUAAAAGUAAAAAUCGUAGAAA
Molecule: long non-coding RNA, 599 nt
Organism: Drosophila simulans
Lineage: Eukaryota; Metazoa; Arthropoda; Insecta; Diptera; Drosophilidae
Exons: 2
Source: RefSeq, a predicted model, not a curated record